CCUGCCUUGAGCUGCAAUCAUGGUGGACGUGAUGGAGUUGCCCAAGGCGCGAAUCAACGCCAGCAUGCUAGCUCAGUUCAUCGACCAGCCAGUCUGCUUCGUAGGGAGGCUGGAGAAGAUUCAUCCCACUGGGAAAAUGUUUAUUCUUUCAGAUGGUAAAGGAAAAAAUGGAACUACUGAGUUGAUGGAGCCUCUUGAUGAAGGAAUCUCUGGAGUCAUGGAAGCAGUUGGAAGAGUAACGGCCAAGGCAACCAUUAUGUGUGCAUCUUAUGUCCAGCUUAGAGAAGAUAAUCAUCCUUUUGAUCUUGGACUUUACAAUGAGGCUGUGAAGAUUACCCAUGAGUUCCCUCAGGUUUUUCCUUUGGGAGUUGUGCAGUAUGGUUGAACUAUUUUGAUUAUUGCCUGUGAGCUACACUGAAGACUAUUAAAGGAGGCCCCUGAUAUUUGAAGGAGCAAUUCCUGUGAUUUCUAAUAUUUAAUUUGUUCUCUUAAUUUCAUUUACCUAACUUUAUUAGAUAUUCCAGUGUGCCAUUUUUGACAGAACUGGCUUAUUGACAGUUCUCACCUAAGUUCUCAUAAAGAAUAAUUUCUCUGGCCUAUCGGACAUGACUGAGCGACUGAACUGAACUGAACUGAACUGAUGGUCAGAUUAAAUGCACGAAAAAAAAAAUUUGGUUGAACUCAGUUUUCUGCUCUUAUUAAUACAAGCUU
This is an RNA transcript of Capra hircus (goat), 711 nucleotides long. It is a transcript of the gene named replication protein A 14 kDa subunit pseudogene, with no coding region annotated. The record is from RefSeq and is a predicted model, not a curated record. NCBI's taxonomy places the organism in Eukaryota, Metazoa, Chordata, Mammalia, Artiodactyla, Bovidae. The transcript has a single exon.